AACGCUAGCUACAGGCUUAACACAUGCAAGUCGAGGGGCAGCAUGAACAAAGCUUGCUUUGUUUGAUGGCGACCGGCGCACGGGUGAGUAACGCGUAUCCGACCUGCCCAUGACUCGGGCACAGCCGCUCGAAAGAGCGAUUGAUUCCCGAUAUGUCUAUGAAGUAGAUUCAUGGAUGAAAGAUUCAUCGGUCAUGGAUGGGGAUGCGUAGGAUUAGGUAGUAGGCGGGGUAACGGCCCACCUAGCCGACGAUCCUUAGGGGUUCUGAGAGGAAGGUCCCCCACACUGGUACUGAGACACGGACCAGACUCCUACGGGAGGCAGCAGUGAGGAAUAUUGGUCAAUGGGCGGAAGCCUGAACCAGCCAAGUAGCGUGAAGGAUUACUGCCCUACGGGUUUUAAACUUCUUUUAUGCGAGAGUAAUGUGCACCACGUGUGGUGUAUUGCAAGUAUCGCAUGAAUAAGCAUCGGCUAACUCCGUGCCAGCAGCCGCGGUAAUACGGAGGAUGCGAGCGUUAUCCGGAUUUAUUGGGUUUAAAGGGAGCGUAGGCGGGUCAUUAAGUCAGUCGUCAAAGCCUGUGGCUCAACCACAGCCCGCGAUUGAUACUGGUGACCUUGAGUGCGGAUGAGGUGGAUGGAAUUCGUGGUGUAGCGGUGAAAUGCUUAGAUAUCACGAAGAACUCCGAUUGCGAAGGCAGUCCACUGGGCCGCAACUGACGCUGAAGCUCGAAAGUGCGGGUAUCAAACAGGAUUAGAUACCCUGGUAGUCCGCACCGUAAACGAUGGAUACUCGCUGUCGGCGAUACACAGUCGGCGGCCAAGCGAAAGCAUUAAGUAUCCCACCUGGGGAGUACGCCGGCAACGGUGAAACUCAAAGGAAUUGACGGGGGCCCGCACAAGCGGAGGAACAUGUGGUUUAAUUCGAUGAUACGCGAGGAACCUUACCCGGGCUUGAACUGCUGAGGACCGGUCCAGAGAUGGACUUUCCCUUCGGGGUCUCAGUGGAGGUGCUGCAUGGUUGUCGUCAGCUCGUGCCGUGAGGUGUCGGCUUAAGUGC
RNAcentral lists this ribosomal RNA (1057 nucleotides) under uncultured Bacteroidales bacterium. Its description in RNAcentral is "bacterial SSU rRNA". It matches the Rfam family "Bacterial small subunit ribosomal RNA", at positions 32 to 1087 of the family's 1533-position model. Lineage: Bacteria; Pseudomonadati; Bacteroidota; Bacteroidia; Bacteroidales. The record is from RNAcentral.